UACGGAGGGUGCGAGCGUUGUCCGGAAUCAUUGGGCGUAAAGCGCGUGUAGGCGGCUCGGUAAGUCUGCUGUGAAAGUCCAGGGCUCAACCCUGGGAUGCCGGUGGAUACUGUCGAGCUCGAGUCCGGAAGAGGCGAGUGGAAUUCCUGGUGUAGCGGUGAAAUGCGCAGAUAUCAGGAGGAACACCAGUGGCGAAGGCAGCUCGCUGGGACGUGACUGACGCUGAGACGCGAAAGCGUGGGGAGCAAACAGG
RNAcentral lists this ribosomal RNA (253 nucleotides) under uncultured bacterium. RNAcentral describes it as "partial 16S ribosomal RNA". It matches the Rfam family "Bacterial small subunit ribosomal RNA", at positions 524 to 776 of the family's 1533-position model. The record is from RNAcentral.